UCAAUAUUUUCAAUAUUUAACAUUUUUGCAAAAACUUUUAUUUUCGUUUUGUUAAUGAAUUAUUAACAAAAACAUACUAACUAAUCACAGAGUGUAUAGUUGAGUGUAGAUCCAGGAUUGUGGAAUGCAAAAAUAAAAUAUAAAAUAAUUCUUGGCUCAAAUUAUAAUGAUCGAAGUUAUAAUGAAUAUCAAUAUUUUAAUAUCGUUGUAAUUUCAAUUGUCCAAUAUAAAUCCGCACAUUGGAUUUGGAAUAUUUUAAGUCUAUUAUAAUCUAUAAAAAAGUAACUUUUUAAUCAAUGUAUUUAUUAUACAUUUUGCUGUGUAUAGGAAUAGUAAAUAAGUGAUAAUUGCAUACAGAUGUAUAUAUAUAGGAAAAAUUUUGUAUAAUAAUAACAAUCUUUUUUUUACAAAUAUUUUGAAAAUUAAAAUUGAACAAUAGUAACAUGCAAAGGAAAAAUCUUUUAUUAAAAAUUUUGUGCUCUGCAAUAUAUUCAAAAAUCAAAAUUGAUGAAGAUUUAUCUAUUUUAAGUAAUAUCGAAAGAAAAUUUAUAUAAACAAACCUUCAAAUGCUUUAAAAAAAAUUACAUAAGAAAUAUGGAAACUAAAGACGAGUUUGUUAUCGAUAUAUCAUUACAUAAUAAUAUUAACUGUAUUUAUGUUUAGCAUAUUGUGCGAAACCUAUAGAAAAUGACUAAAUGAACGUCGUAAAAGAUGAUCAAUUAGUUAAAUAACGCAUAUUCUUUGAUUUGAAAGAUUUUACAUUAUUAAAUUUUAACAGGCAACGAUAAAAAUGUGUCGUACAAUAGUUAAUUCAAAACGAAAAAUUCAUGAUUUAAUUGAUACAAAAAAUUUAUGAUUUAGUAAACUGAAGCAAAAUAAGGUUCGAAAAAUAAUAAACUAAAUUUUUCAAAGAUAUUCGUGAAAAAAUAUACAUCAAUAUAUGAUUAACUAUUUAUAUAAAAACAUCAGUUAAUAUCCAAAAUGUAUAAUGUGUGAGCUAUCAUUACACAGUAUCUGUCUAUGAAGACUUCAAAUUCGCCAAAUACAAAAACAAAAUAUAUAAAAAUGGAUGAAGUAAUAACCGUAAUAUAACUAGACGAAAAAUGAUUUUGCAUGAAAAAA
Molecule: long non-coding RNA, 1122 nt
Organism: Apis florea (little honeybee)
Lineage: Eukaryota; Metazoa; Arthropoda; Insecta; Hymenoptera; Apidae
Source: RefSeq, a predicted model, not a curated record